AGUUACCGCUCUAUAACCCUUUGUGAACAUACCUAUAACUGUUGCUUCGGCGGGCAGGGUCUCCGUGACCCUCCCGGCCUCCCGCCCCCGGGCGGGUCGGCGCCCGCCGGAGGAUAACCAAACUCUGAUUUAACGACGUUUCUUCUGAGUGGUACAAGCAAAUAAUCAAAACUUUUAACAACGGAUCUCUUGGUUCUGGCAUCGAUGAAGAACGCAGCGAAAUGCGAUAAGUAAUGUGAAUUGCAGAAUUCAGUGAAUCAUCGAAUCUUUGAACGCACAUUGCGCCCGCCAGCAUUCUGGCGGGCAUGCCUGUUCGAGCGUCAUUUCAACCCUCAAGCUCUGCUUGGUGUUGGGGCCCUACAGCUGAUGUAGGCCCUCAAAGGUAGUGGCGGACCCUCCCGGAGCCUCCUUUGCGUAGUAACUUUACGUCUCGCACUGGGAUCCGGAGGGACUCUUGCCGUAAAACCCCCAAUUUUCCAAAGGUUGACCUCGGAUCAGGUAGGAAUACCCGCUGAACUUAA
RNAcentral lists this ribosomal RNA (521 nucleotides) under Colletotrichum sp. Its description in RNAcentral is "eukaryotic LSU rRNA". The stretch from base 170 to 323 matches the Rfam family "5.8S ribosomal RNA". The record is from RNAcentral. Lineage: Eukaryota; Fungi; Ascomycota; Sordariomycetes; Glomerellales; Glomerellaceae.